RNAcentral lists this ribosomal RNA (445 nucleotides) under uncultured bacterium. RNAcentral's name for it is "bacterial SSU rRNA". It matches the Rfam family "Bacterial small subunit ribosomal RNA", at positions 29 to 521 of the family's 1533-position model. The record is from RNAcentral.
AACGAACGCUGGCGGCAGGCCUAACACAUGCAAGUCGAACGCCCCGCAAGGGGAGUGGCAGACGGGUGAGUAACGCGUGGGAACGUACCCUUCGGUUCGGGAUAACUCAGGGAAACUUGAGCUAAUACCGGAUACGUCCGAGAGGAGAAAGAUUUAUCGCCGAGGGAUCGGCCCGCGUCUGAUUAGCUUGUUGGUGAGGUAACGGCUCACCAAGGCGACGAUCAGUAGCUGGUCUGAGAGGAUGAUCAGCCACAUUGGGACUGAGACACGGCCCAAACUCCUACGGGAGGCAGCAGUGGGGAAUAUUGGACAAUGGGCGCAAGCCUGAUCCAGCCAUGCCGCGUGAGUGAUGAAGGCCCUAGGGUUGUAAAGCUCUUUUACCCGGGAAGAUAAUGACUGUACCGGGAGAAUAAGCCCCGGCUAACUUCGUGCCAGCCGCCGCGGU